AUUGAACGCUGGCGGCAGGCCUAACACAUGCAAGUCGAACGAGUGGCGGACGGGUGAGUAAUGUCUGGGAAACUGCCUGAUGGAGGGGGGUAACUACUGGAAACGGUGGCUAAUACCGCAUACCAUCAGAUGUGCCCAGAUGGGGUUUGCUAGUGGGUGGGGUAACGGCUCACCUAGGCGACGAUCCCUAGCUGGUCUGAGAGGAUGACCAGCCACACUGGAACUGAGAAACGGUCCAGACUCCUACGGGAGGCAGCAGUGGGGAAUAUUGCACAAUGGGCGCAAGCCUGAUGCAGCCAUGCCGCGUGUAUGAAGAAGGCCUUCGGGUUGUAAAGUACUUUCAGCGGGGAGGCGUUACCCGCAGAAGAAGCACCGGCUAACUCCGUGCCAGCAGCCGCGGUAAUAC
RNAcentral lists this ribosomal RNA (406 nucleotides) under uncultured bacterium. Its description in RNAcentral is "partial 16S ribosomal RNA". It matches the Rfam family "Bacterial small subunit ribosomal RNA", at positions 30 to 526 of the family's 1533-position model. The record is from RNAcentral.